Molecule: ribosomal RNA, 406 nt
Filed under: uncultured bacterium
Lineage: Bacteria
Description: bacterial SSU rRNA
Rfam family: Bacterial small subunit ribosomal RNA
Source: RNAcentral
UAGCCUUGACAUUGAUUGAACACACUAGAGAUAGAGUGGUGCCCUUCGGGGAACAUGAAAACAGGUGCUGCACGGCUGUCGUCAGCUCGUGUCGUGAGAUGUUGGGUUAAGUCCCGCAACGAGCGCAACCCUCGUCCUUAGUUGCUAGCAGUUCGGCUGAGCACUCUAAGGAGACUGCCUUCGUAAGGAGGAGGAAGGUGAGGACGACGUCAAGUCAUCAUGGCCCUUAUGGCUAGGGCUACACACGUGCUACAAUGGGUAGUACAAAGAGAUGCGAUACCGCGAGGUGGAGCAAAUCUAUAAACCUAAUCUCAGUUCGGAUAGCAGUCUGCAACUCGACUGCUUGAAGCUGGAAUCACUAGUAAUCGUAAAUCAGCUAUGUUACGGUGAAUACGUUCCCGGGUCU